GAUGAACGCUAGCGGCAGGCUUAACACAUGCAAGUCGAGGGGUAACAGGGAAAAGCUUGCUUUUUUGCUGACGACCGGCGCACGGGUGAGUAACGCGUAUAGAACCUACCUUUUACAGGGGAAUAGCCCAGAGAAAUUUGGAUUAAUGCCCUAUAGUAUUAUUGAGUGGCAUCAUUUAAUAAUUAAACAUUUAUGGGUAAAAGAUGGCUAUGCGUUCUAUUAGCUAGAUGGUAAGGUAACGGCUUACCAUGGCAACGAUAGAUAGGGGUCCUGAGAGGGAGAUCCCCCACACUGGUACUGAGACACGGACCAGACUCCUACGGGAGGCAGCAGUGAGGAAUAUUGGACAAUGGAGGCAACUCUGAUCCAGCCAUGCCGCGUGCAGGAAGACGGCCCUAUGGGUUGUAAACUGCUUUUAUACGGGAAGAAACCCAACUACGUGUAGUUGGCUGACGGUACCGUAAGAAUAAGCACCGGCUAACUCCGUGCCAGCAGCCGCGGUAAUACGGAGGGUGCAAGCGUUAUCCGGAAUCAUUGGGUUUAAAGGGUCCGUAGGCGGGCUAAUAAGUCAGGGGUGAAAUCCAACAGCUUAACUGUUGAACUGCCUUUGAUACUGUUAGUCUUGAAUUAUAUGGAAGUAGAUAGAAUGUGUAGUGUAGCGGUGAAAUGCUUAGAGAUUACACAGAAUACCGAUUGCGAAGGCAGUCUACUACGUA
Molecule: ribosomal RNA, 716 nt
Filed under: Lutibacter sp.
Lineage: Bacteria; Pseudomonadati; Bacteroidota; Flavobacteriia; Flavobacteriales; Flavobacteriaceae
Description: bacterial SSU rRNA
Rfam family: Bacterial small subunit ribosomal RNA
Source: RNAcentral